Molecule: ribosomal RNA, 237 nt
Filed under: Blepharipa albicauda
Lineage: Eukaryota; Metazoa; Arthropoda; Insecta; Diptera; Tachinidae
Description: partial 28S ribosomal RNA
Rfam family: Eukaryotic large subunit ribosomal RNA
Source: RNAcentral
CGAUAGUAAACAAGUACCGUGAGGGAAAGUUGAAAAGAACUCUGAAUAGAGAGUUAAAUAGUACGUGAAACUGCUUAGAGGUUAAGCCCGAUGAACCUGAAUAUCCAAUAUAGAAAAUUCAUCAUUAUGACUCUAAUAUUUUUAAAUAUUAUAAUAAUAGUGUGCAUUUUUUCUAUAGAGGACAUUGUAAUCUAUUGAUAUAAAAGAAAUUUAUUAUAAGAUCGAUUGCGCAAGUUU